CCUACGGGCGGCAGCAGUGAGGAAUAUUGGUCAAUGGGCGCGAGCCUGAACCAGCCAAGUAGCGUGAAGGAUGACUGCCCUACGGGUUGUAAACUUCUUUUGCCGGGGAGCAACGGGCGCCACGUGUGGCGUCACUGAGAGUACCCGGAGAAAAAGCAUCGACUAACUCCGUGCCAGCAGCCGCGGUAAUACGGAGGAUGCGAGCGUUAUCCGGAUUUAUUGGGUUUAAAGGGUGCGUAGGCGGAUCGUUAAGUCAGUGGUCAAAUUGAGGGGCUCAACCCCUUCCCGCCAUUGAAACUGGCGUUCUUGAGUGGAAGAGAGGUAUGCGGAAUGCGUGGUGUGGCGGUGAAAUGCAUAGAUAUCACGCAGAACCCCGAUUGCGAAGGCAGCAUGCCGGCUUCCGACUGACGCUGAAGCACGAAAGCGUGGGGAUCGAACAGGAUUAGAUACCCGAGUAGUC
Molecule: ribosomal RNA, 460 nt
Filed under: uncultured bacterium
Lineage: Bacteria
Description: partial 16S ribosomal RNA
Rfam family: Bacterial small subunit ribosomal RNA
Source: RNAcentral